This 568-nucleotide ribosomal RNA is filed under the name Digenea sp. virgulate xiphidiocercaria 1 DB-2022. Its description in RNAcentral is "partial large subunit ribosomal RNA". Lineage: Eukaryota; Metazoa; Platyhelminthes; Trematoda. The record is from RNAcentral.
AAAGUUGAAAAGUACUUUGAAGAGAGGGUAAACAGUGCGUGAAACCGAUCAGAGGUAAACGGGUGGAGUUGAACUGCAAGCUCUGAGAAUUCAGCUGGUGAGUAUGGUUUGAGCUUGGUCAAGUCAGUUGGACUCUGUGGUCUGCGAUGCACUUGACAGGUGCUGUGGGCUGCGGGUGUUCUUCGGGCUGACUCGCCGGUGCACUUUCUCAGAGUGGUCACCACGACCGGCAUCAUUGUCUGGCUGGUGGGGUUAAACCGGUUUCGCAAGGUCCUUGUGGCUCUGCUUGAUCGGGAUGGCAGGUAGCUCGUUGGCUUGCUUACAGUUCGCUGUGAGCGUGGUCUUCGAGUGUAAUCAGCUGACCACAUCGGUGCUGUGCAGUAUGUCGGAGAUGGCGGCUGGUGCGUGCGCGUGCAAGGCUGGUUGGCGCGUCCGGGUUUGGUCGUUAUGUGCUUGUUUACUCAGGCCUAAUGAUGAUUCGGGCGUGUCCAGUUGGUUGUUGUGCGUGCGAGAGGUACGGCGCCAAUAGUCUGUGGUGUAGUGGUAACUAUCCACCUGACCCGUCUUG